CACGAUGUGUGUGUGUGAUUACCUAUUUUAAUACUGAAUAGUAGUUUAAACUGCAUUAGAUUACAUAUCAGAUGUAUGCAUAAAGAUUUCACGAACAAAUACUCAGGUAAACCUCUAAAGAUUGGAAUCCAGCCCAACAAAACUAUUCUAUGGUCAAAAAAGAAUUACUUGCCAUAGUCCAUUGUGUUACUAAAUUUCAAAGUG
This 204-nucleotide long non-coding RNA is filed under the name Amborella trichopoda. Its description in RNAcentral is "long non-coding RNA (ATRI_LNC004678)". The record is from RNAcentral. Lineage: Eukaryota; Viridiplantae; Streptophyta; Magnoliopsida; Amborellales; Amborellaceae.